AGAAUAACAAAAGGAAGGAAACGAAAUUUUAAACUGAUUUCCGCCAUUAAAAAAAUAACAUGAAACCUACAGUUCACGACACAUCGCAUAGGAAUUUAAAAUAAAUAUUAGGCCUAUAGGUUUAAUACAUAUUGCAUAGAAUAUAGAAAUUUAGAUCUAGUGUUCUGGUUAGUAGUUAUUUCAUGUUUAUUAGAAUAUAGUCUAGAAUCUAAUCAUACGGCUGCAUAAAAAGAAAGUUUGAAGGAAAUAGAAUAGGAAUCUAGAGAAGCGGAGUGUUUUCCGCACUCGAGAGGAAAGAGGUUGCAGGGACUAAUCUUUGCCAACAUACUGGAUUUCUGGUGAUGACAAUAGCAGCAGAUAGUAUGCGGCUCAGUUAAUACUAAAAACAAUUGAUUUUACUAAUUAGUGGACUAUGAGUGUGUGUUUGGCCAUCCAGAUUUCAUAACUACAACUGAUGUUCAAUUACAAGGGAUAUUAAUCAGUCUCCGUGGACUAUACACUGUGCCUAGUUUCAUCCUCAGAGACUGAUGUGUAAGCUUAAAGUAAAGACAUCAAAUCAAAGUAUCAGCCAUCAAGAG
Physella acuta is the source of this 578-nucleotide long non-coding RNA. RefSeq lists it as uncharacterized. Lineage: Eukaryota; Metazoa; Mollusca; Gastropoda; Physidae. The record is from RefSeq and is a predicted model, not a curated record.